CUACGGGACAAGCUGGUAUACGCAUAGCUCAAAC
This 34-nucleotide small RNA is filed under the name Arabidopsis thaliana (thale cress). RNAcentral's name for it is "ATSL175850". Lineage: Eukaryota; Viridiplantae; Streptophyta; Magnoliopsida; Brassicales; Brassicaceae. The record is from RNAcentral.